RNAcentral lists this ribosomal RNA (491 nucleotides) under uncultured bacterium. Its description in RNAcentral is "partial 16S ribosomal RNA". It matches the Rfam family "Bacterial small subunit ribosomal RNA", at positions 29 to 507 of the family's 1533-position model. The record is from RNAcentral.
GUGAACGCUGGCGGCAGGCCUCACACAUGCAAGUCGAACGGCAGCACAGUAAGAGCUUGCUCUUACGGGUGGCGAGUGGCGGACGGGUGAGGAAUACAUCGGAAUCUACUUUUUCGUGGGGGAUAACGUAGGGAAACUUACGCUAAUACCGCAUACGACCUACGGGUGAAAGCAGGGGAUCUUCGGACCUUGCGCGAUUGAAUGAGCCGAUGUCGGAUUAGCUAGUUGGCGGGGUAAAGGCCCACCAAGGCGACGAUCCGUAGCUGGUCUGAGAGGAUGAUCAGCCACACUGGAACUGAGACACGGUCCAGACUCCUACGGGAGGCAGCAGUGGGGAAUAUUGGACAAUGGGCGCAAGCCUGAUCCAGCCAUACCGCGUGGGUGAAGAAGGCCUUCGGGUUGUAAAGCCCUUUUGUUGGGAAAGAAAAGCAGCAGGUUAAUACCCCGCUGUUCUGACGGUACCCAAAGAAUAAGCACCGGCUAACUUCGUG